Molecule: ribosomal RNA, 496 nt
Filed under: uncultured bacterium
Lineage: Bacteria
Description: partial 16S ribosomal RNA
Rfam family: Bacterial small subunit ribosomal RNA
Source: RNAcentral
GAUGAACGCUGGCGGCGUGCCUAACACAUGCAAGUCGAGCGAACAGACGAGGAGCUUGCUCCUCUGACGUUAGCGGCGGACGGGUGAGUAACACGUGGAUAACCUACCUAUAAGACUGGGAUAACUUCGGGAAACCGGAGCUAAUACCGGAUAAUAUAUUGAACCGCAUGGUUCAAUAGUGAAAGACGGUUUUGCUGUCACUUAUAGAUGGAUCCGCGCCGCAUUAGCUAGUUGGUAAGGUAACGGCUUACCAAGGCAACGAUGCGUAGCCGACCUGAGAGGGUGAUCGACCAAACGGAAACGGGACCAGGGUCCGACCUCCAAGGGAGGGCGGCAGUGGGGAGUCUUCCGAAAGGGGCGAAGGCCUAACGAGGCAACGCCGCGUGAGUAAGGAGGGUCUUCGGAUCGUAAAACUCUGUUAUUGGGAAGAAACAAAUGUGAAAGUAACAAUGCACGUCUUAACGGUACCAAAUCAGAAAGCCACGGCUAACUAGGU